RNAcentral lists this transfer RNA (61 nucleotides) under Neotoma lepida (desert woodrat). It matches the Rfam family "tRNA", at positions 6 to 65 of the family's 71-position model. From Rfam's summary of the family: Transfer RNA (tRNA) molecules are approximately 80 nucleotides in length. Their secondary structure includes four short double-helical elements and three loops (D, anti-codon, and T loops). Further hydrogen bonds mediate the characteristic L-shaped molecular structure. tRNAs have two regions of fundamental functional importance: the anti-codon, which is responsible for specific mRNA codon recognition, and the 3' end, to which the tRNAs corresponding amino acid is attached (by aminoacyl-tRNA synthetases). tRNAs cope with the degeneracy of the genetic code in two manners: having more than one tRNA (with a specific anti-codon) for a particular amino acid; and 'wobble' base-pairing, i.e. permitting non-standard base-pairing at the 3rd anti-codon position. The record is from Rfam by way of RNAcentral. Lineage: Eukaryota; Metazoa; Chordata; Mammalia; Rodentia; Cricetidae.
UGUAGCUCAGUGGUAGAGCACUUGCCUAGCAUGCUACAAGUCUUGAGUUCAACACUCAGCA